Molecule: ribosomal RNA, 286 nt
Filed under: uncultured bacterium
Lineage: Bacteria
Description: partial 16S ribosomal RNA
Rfam family: Bacterial small subunit ribosomal RNA
Source: RNAcentral
GACGAACGCUGGCGGCGUGCUUAACACAUGCAAGUCGAGCGGUAAGGCCCUUUCGGGGGUACACGAGCGGCGAACGGGUGAGUAACACGUGGGUGACCUGCCCUUAGCUCUGGGAUAAGCCUGGGAAACUGGGUCUAAUACCGGAUAUGACUCCAUAACGCAUGUUGUGGGGUGGAAAGCCUUGUGCGGCUAGGGAUGGGGCCCGCGGCCUAUCAGCUUGUUGGUGGGGUGAUGGCCACCGAAGGCGACGACGGGUAGCCGGCCUGAGAGGGCGACCGGCCACACU